RNAcentral lists this ribosomal RNA (825 nucleotides) under uncultured Marmoricola sp. RNAcentral describes it as "bacterial SSU rRNA". It matches the Rfam family "Bacterial small subunit ribosomal RNA", at positions 28 to 868 of the family's 1533-position model. Lineage: Bacteria; Bacillati; Actinomycetota; Actinomycetes; Propionibacteriales; Nocardioidaceae. The record is from RNAcentral.
GACGAACGCUGGCGGCGUGCUUAACACAUGCAAGUCGAGCGGUAAGGCCCUUCGGGGUACACGAGCGGCGAACGGGUGAGUAACACGUGAGCAAUCUACCCAUCACAUCGGGAUAACUCCGGGAAACCGAAGCUAAUACCGAAUACGACCACUUCAGGCAUCUGACGGUGGUGGAAAGUUCCGGCGGUGAUGGAUGAGCUCGCGGCCUAUCAGCUAGUUGGUGGGGUAACGGCCCACCAAGGCUUCGACGGGUAGCCGGCCUGAGAGGGUGACCGGCCACACUGGGACUGAGACACGGCCCAGACUCCUACGGGAGGCAGCAGUGGGGAAUAUUGGACAAUGGGCGAAAGCCUGAUCCAGCAACGCCGCGUGAGGGAUGACGGCCUUCGGGUUGUAAACCUCUUUCAGCAGGGACGAAGCGCAAGUGACGGUACCUGCAGAAGAAGCACCGGCCAACUACGUGCCAGCAGCCGCGGUAAUACGUAGGGUGCGAGCGUUGUCCGGAAUUAUUGGGCGUAAAGGGCGCGUAGGCGGCCUGCUAAGUCGGACGUGAAAUCCCCGGGCUCAACCCGGGAACUGCGUCCGAUACUGGUUGGCUUGAAUCCGGGAGAGGGAUGUGGAAUUCCAGGUGUAGCGGUGAAAUGCGUAGAUAUCUGGAGGAACACCGGUGGCGAAGGCGGCAUCCUGGACCGGCAUUGACGUUGAGGCGCGAAAGCCAGGGGAGCAAACGGGAUUAGAUACCCCGGUAGUCCUGGCCCUAAACGAUGAGUGCUUGGUGUGGCGGGUAUCGAUCCCUGCCGUGCCGAAGCUAACGCAUUAAGCACU